UGAACGCUGGCGGCGUGCCUAAUACAUGCAAGUCGAGCGAACAGAUGAGGAGCUUGCUCCUCUGACGUUAGCGGCGGACGGGUGAGUAACACGUGGAUAACCUACCUAUAAGACUGGGAUAACUUCGGGAAACCGGAGCUAAUACCGGAUAAUAUAUUGAACCGCAUGGUUCAAUAGUGAAAGACGGUUUUGCUGUCACUUAUAGAUGGAACCGCGCCGCAUUAGCUAGUUGGUAAGGUAACGGCUUACCAAGGCGACGAUGCGUAGCCGACCUGAGAGGGUGAUCGGCCACACUGGAACUGAGACACGGUCCAGACUCCUACGGGAGGCAGCAGUAGGGAAUCUUCCGCAAUGGGCGAAAGCCUGACGGAGCAACGCCGCGUGAGUGAUGAAGGUCUUCGGAUCGUAAAACUCUGUUAUUAGGGAAGAACAAAUGUGUAAGUAACUAUGCACGUCUUGACGGUACCCAAUCAGAAAGCCACGGCUAACUACGUG
This 495-nucleotide ribosomal RNA is filed under the name uncultured bacterium. RNAcentral's name for it is "partial 16S ribosomal RNA". It matches the Rfam family "Bacterial small subunit ribosomal RNA", at positions 30 to 507 of the family's 1533-position model. The record is from RNAcentral.